GCCUUCGUUGUGUAAUGGUCAGCACACUGAGCCGGUAUUUCAGAGGUCCGCGGUUCGAUUCCCGGCGAAGGCG
Molecule: non-coding RNA, 73 nt
Organism: Stegodyphus mimosarum
Lineage: Eukaryota; Metazoa; Arthropoda; Arachnida; Araneae; Eresidae
Source: Rfam